This 520-nucleotide ribosomal RNA is filed under the name Hetaerina capitalis. Its description in RNAcentral is "partial 16S ribosomal RNA". It matches the Rfam family "Bacterial large subunit ribosomal RNA", at positions 1812 to 2602 of the family's 2925-position model. Lineage: Eukaryota; Metazoa; Arthropoda; Insecta; Odonata; Calopterygidae. The record is from RNAcentral.
AACAUGUCUUCUUGUAAAAUAUAGGAAGUCUGGCCUGCCCAGUGAUAAUAAUUUAACGGCCGCGGUAUAUUGACCGUGCAAAGGUAGCAUAAUCAUUAGUCUUUUAAUAGGAGACUGGGAUGAAGGGCUCAACGAAAUACUAGCUGUCUCAAUUUAAUAUAUUAUAAUUUGAUUUUUGAGUCAAAAAGCUUAAAUAUUAUUGAAGGACGAGAAGACCCUAUAGAGCUUUAUAGUUAAUAUUAAUAGUUAUUUUUAUUAAAUUUUUAUUCUGUUAAUAUUAAUUUUUUUGUUGGGGUGACAACAAAUAUAUAAAUAACUUUUUUAUUUAAAAACCAUUAAUUUAUGAAUAAUAGAUCCAUUAUUAUUGAUUAAUAGAGUUAGUUACCUUAGGGAUAACAGCGUAAUCUUCCUUCAGAGUUCAUAUUUACAGGGAGGGUUGCGACCUCGAUGUUGGAUUAAGAUUAUAAUUAGGUGUAGCAGCUUAAUUUAUGGGUCUGUUCGACCCUUAAAUUCUUACAUG